GCCAGCACUAUCUCUGUUUUCAGUAGAGUUUCUGGAAGUGGAGUUACUGCACAUCUUCUCAUCUCCAAGUAGUCCUCCUUCCUUGGCCUAGUGCUUCUUGCCUUGAAGAUGCUAAUCUGGAUCUCUGUUGUGAGUAGUGCUGACCUGACAGAGGGCACAGCUUUAAUCCAUGGGUUUCCUUGAACUGGUCAAAGGGAGCUCACCAGAACCUGCAGGUAGUGUGGCAGCUUCCUGCUUUGAUCCACAAAGGUUGGGAUAGGGCUUAACCUGCAGGGCUUGACAACCCUCCUCUUUCUGGUCUAAACCAACAACAGUUCUAUUAGCUUUAACUGAUUCCUCUGCUACUUUAGUCUUCAUUUCUUGGCCAGCACUAUCUCUGCUUUCAUUAGAUUUUUUAUCCACUUCUGAGCUCCAAGUAGUUCUUCUUCCUUGGCCUUCUGCUUCUUACCUUGAGGAUGCUCAUCUAGACCAACCUCCCCUUUCUGGUCUAGACCAACAACAGUUUUAUUAGCUUUAACUGAUUCCUCUUGUACUUUAGUCUUCAUUUCUUGGCCAACACCAUCUCUGCUUUCAGUAGAUUUUUUUGACGUGGAUGAAGUGGAGUUACUGCACAUUUUCUUAUCUCUAAUUAGUCCUGAAACCCUGGCCUUGUGCUUCCUACCUUGAAGAUGCUCAUCUAGACCUCUCUCGGUAGUAGCACUGACCCGACAGAGGGCACAACUCCACUCCUUGGGUUUGUUUGAACCCGUUGAAGGAAGCUCUCCAGGACCUACAGGUGGUGUGGCAACUUUCUGCUUUGAUCCACAAGUAUUGGAAUCAGGCUGAGGCUGGAAAUGGUACAGAAACCAUUAUGCCUUAUAUUAGUUAUCACAUCAAUGGUAAAAAUAUAAAAUAUUCCCAGUGAGCUCCGUCAUCUGCUAUUGUAGUACAGAUGAAAGAAUUUGUUUACAAAAUAGUUAAUACAACCAGAAUCCUUGUUAAUUAACAACAUUUCCAGCAAGAAAAUCUUUCCUUCCAAAAAACAAAAAAAAAAGGAAUAUGUUUGAAUAGGAUUCUGAAAGACUUUCUUAAUAAGCUGGACUAGAAGAGAUGAUAUUAACACUUACGAGCAUUAUAAUUCAUAAUUUGAGGAAACACCAUUUCAAUGGAGCCUCCAGCCCAACGCACAUACACAAAGACAAGCAAUAAGAUUUAAAAUAAGAAAUUACCGGGAAAAAGAAACAUCGGAAAUCAAUCUGUACAAGUUCAUAUGACACUUCAUGGUAAACAUAUGUAACCUCUCUUGGAACCUUAGCCUGCGAGAAGCUCACAUUUGCUCCGUGUUUUCGUUCAAAAAAGGUUUCAGACACACAUUGAUUCCAGGCUGUGGGGGAUCAUACGUCCUCACUGCCAAAUUUUAAAGCCACAUACAUUGGCAUUUGCACGCAUGGUCAAGAGUUGCACAACUCUCUCGUCUACUUGAGUUGACCACGCAAACUGAACUUGCGAACUUUGACCAACAUAAAUAACCAAAUGCUAUGAUGUUUGGAACUAAAUCAAGAUAGCGAGUCCAAAUGUACUCCCCAACAAACUUGUCACCUGUGCAUCAAGACCAAGUCUUUUGGCACUAAGAGUGGACAUGGGAAUCUCUAAGCAACGACCUCCUAAUAACAUACAAAUCCAGGUUACUGAUAAUGCUCAUCGAUUUAAAGGCUUACAAGUUUACAUAGAGGUAAGUAAAGAAUUUGAUAAUAAUUGAAACAGAGUUCGAACGCCAAACAAUAAUAAUAAAGAUAAAUUUAAUCUAUAAUAUCAACUAAAAAGUUGUGAUAUAUAUAUAUUUUUUAAUUUGAUUUUUUGUGCAGCAUCAGUUCUAUGGAAAAUCGGUGCCUUUUGUAUCAUGUAAAGAUGCCCUACAGAAUGCAACUCUUAGUGGAUAUUUCAACUCUGCUCAAGUGCGAUUACAGAUGACGUGAUUUCAUUGGAUAGUUCCAUUGAGACCAUCAAAUAAACAACAUGUCGCAAUGAAUUAGUCUUUCGCCUAACAAUACCUAUUUUAUGUACAUCUCUUAAUUUUAUUUAUAUGACUAUACGAUGGUUGUCGAAGCCAACAAAAAUAAAUUCCUACUCUAAAUAAAUUGUGUAUAGUGAUUGAGCAGGGUCGUGUCCACAGAGAUCGGUAAUUAUUUAAAUCCUUUUGAAACGUAAAACGUAAAAUGGGGGAAUUGUUGACAAUAAUAAAAAUCAAAUUAAAAUAACAAGAAUGCAAAUUAAAGUUGUAAUUCAAAUUGGAGAAAACUCUGGUUGAAGGAAUUAACUCAGCUUGAUUCGACUAUUGAUCAUUGAUUCAAAUAUAUAUUAUUAUUACUUAUGAAUAGACCGGUUAUAGCUACUGAGACCCUCUAAUAGCCAAUAUCUCCUUAAUUAGUCGAUAACCAAGGUAUGACCGUUGGUUAUUUCCCUAAUCAAUAGAUAACCCUAGAUACGAUCAUAGGAUUUAAUCAAUUGACAGCCUGAAAAACCAGAGAGACCCAAAUCCUAAUCAACACAUAUGAUUAUUCAUUUAAAUUAGAUUGUUUAUUCUCACAACACAACUCUCUGCUAUGUUAUUUGUCACAAACAUUAAAUUCUUCAUACGAUGAAUCCUUUAAUUGACAAUAGAUUAAGUUGAUAAUUAAAUAGUGGCCAAUUACCUAAUUAACAAACAUAAUCAUGAAAAUAAUUCAGAGAAUAAACAAAUACCCAAAAAGCAAUAAAACAAUUAAAGCAUAAAAUAGAUCUCACAGUAGUGAUGAAUCAAAGCUUCAUUAUCCUUCAACCAGAAAAAUAGGUUUAGUGCUUCAUAGAGAGAAGAGAAAAGUUUAGACCUAAGGUUUCUUUCUCUUCUCCAAAAGUCUCCUUUUUCACAAUAGAUUCCUCCCUUAAAUACUCUCUCUCUCUUCUCUUUUAGAAUUCUAUUUAAAAUAAAAUACUAAUAACUGAAAUAUUAAAUUCGUAAUUACAAAAUAACCAAAAAUACAAAACAUGUUAAACUAAAAACUGCAGGCCCGCAGUUGACAGCACGCGCCCACGCCUUAUCAACAAAGUUCUUCUGACGCUCUAAAUUUCUCCAAGAGAACAAUCAUCUUUAAACAACAUCUUAUAGCUCAAUUUUAUCACAAAUCAAUAGAACUGCACCCACAAAAGUAAAACACAAGUAAAUCACUAUUAUUAAGUGCAAAACAUCGAUAUUAAGGGAAGUAAACAAUGCAAAACUAGUGCAUAAAUUGCACUCUAACACUAGUCAAGUUAUUUUAUAUUAAAUAUAUUUAUGAAUGAUUAAAAAUAUUUUUCUUCUUUAUCUUAUUAUUAUUAUUAUUAAUAUAGGGGGUUUCUCAUGUAGACAUGCAGUGAAAUGGUCUCACCAAUUGGAAUUGGCCAAAAGGAAACAAUGUUUCAAGCAUACCCAUUUUAUCUGACAGAAUAUAUGGAUUCAUGCAAUAAGUCUUUUGGAGUGGUUCCAAGACCACAUUGGAUUACAACUUAUUAUGGUGGUCAUGUAAGUGUCAAUUAAUCCCCAAAUUAAUUCUUUUAAUUUUCUCUUUUUCUUUUUUUUUCUUUUUUUAAAUUAAAAACUUCACCUCGUUCUUGAGUUUGAUUUUUAUUUCUUUUUAAUUUGUAGGAUAUACGAGUGGUUUUAAAGAGAUUUGGUAGCAACAUUGUUUUCUCUAAUGGCCACCGCGAUCCCUGUAGCAGCGCUGGGUAAUUUAGCUUAAGAAUUUUGGAUAUUCUUUUCUAUUGAAGUUACCCGUUUUAUUAUAUACCUUUUUCUUUUUCUUUCUUUGUUUGGGAUUAUAGGGUUCUGGAAAAUAUAUCAAACAAUAUAAUAGCAGUGACAACAAAAAACAGUAUGUAACUUUUUCUAUAAAAUAAAAAAUUAGUGUUCAAUUAUUAACUAAAUUAUUGGAUAACAUAAUUAAUAGUGUGUAAAUUGGAGCAGGUUCCCAUUGCUUAGACAUACAGCCAGCAACAGAAGAUGACCCCGAAUGGUUAGUAAUGCAGCGAAAGAUUGAAAUGGACAUGGUUCAUGAUUGGUUCCUCAAAUACUCUGCUGAUUUGCUUCAAAAUCAGAGCAUAAGAUUAAAUUUGGACUACAAAAUUAGUCUUUUCUUUUUCUCCCUCUCCUCUAUCUUUCUAAUAUUUAAGGAGCAAAGAUAAAUAAUAGUGCACCUAGCUAGUUGUAGAUUUCAUUUUCAUAAUUCUUAAUCUGGGUUGUCUAAAUGUGUAGAACAAGUGUGCAGUUUUACUUAAUGUAAAGCACGUACAAAGGUUCAAUCUUUAUGUAAUAAUCAUACGGUGAAUAUCAAUUCAUACACAACCACAUUGGAUUAACCAUUUUCUCCCUUUGAUUUAGGAGUUACUGUAUAGGUCCUUGAAGCCGGUGGGAGAAAAAGAAUUUGCCCUCCAGAUACAUGUAUCUCUCAAAACUUAGGUGUUUAUCCUUACACGCUCCGUUUAUUAGUAGCCAAGCUUAUGAGUAUAUUGCUCCAGGUGAACCUGUUCCUAUUCUCCUACAUAAUAGCUUCUUUUGUUAAUUAUUUGACAAUCCCAUGCAAUUCCGAACAUGACUUAGGAUCAGUUUAAGAUUUUGGUGGCUGUUGAAAUAAGCUGCUUCUGCGAUGUGAAUGGAAUUAUCUAAUGAUUAUAAAAGUAGCUCACUCAGUGUUUGGUAAAUUUGAUUACGAAAAUAAUAUUUUAUUAUAUAAUCAUUAAAAUAAACAUAAGUUUAAAUUGUCUUUUACUUAUAUAUUAGGAUUUUUUAAAAAAUAAGAUACACUUAUUCUUUUCUUAAAAUAUUAAAGUUAUAAUAGAAACUUUAAAAAAAAUGGCAUUUUAUUUAAUAAGUUGCUUAUAAAAGACAAUCUCAUACUUAUUUUAAGAGUUAUUGUCAAAAUGGAGAAAAUAUGAAUUAAACUUUUAACAAAUUUAUCAAACAUCAUUUUUAUCAAAACUUAUAAGUAUUUCAACCGUUAUCCCAAAUAGGACAUUAGGCUUUGUGCAGAAUAAAGUUAGGCAUUGAAUAUUUGCACACGUAUAAACUAAAUAUCUGGAUUGAAGAAACAGCUUGACUCAAUAAGUCUACUUCAUUCUUUAUUUUCCACAGCACAUGUCAAGACGUAAGUUCCAAAUAAUUGCUGACUAGGGGAAGCAGUCUUUAAAGUCAAGGUGAUUAGAUUAGCAUGUUUCGGCAUUACGUAUCGGAGGGGUUCCUUGCCCUCAACUUAAAAAAGAUGCCUUAAAAUUAAAUAUUUAAAUAAUAUGGCAUUUAUUAAAUUUUAAAAAAAAUGUAAAAUACAUAAAAAAUAUAUUAAAAAAAACCUUUUUUUAAAGUGUGCAUAGGUUUGAACGGAAACUAUAGGAUCGUAUCACAUUGAAUUUGUGUACUUAGGAUGGGGCACGGAAGAGAGAGCGUCUUGGUUUAUAUUUUACUUAUACACACAUGAGUAAUUAUAUACAAACCUUUCAUGCCUUUGCUAUCUUUUUCAUGUGGGACAAAUAUAAUUUCCUUUACUUUUCCAAUUCCAUGAAUUUACUUUGAGUAACAAUUUCUCAUUUAUCCAAGGGUUAUUUUGAUUAUAUAGGUAAAAUCAUUCUGAAGUAUUUACGGAGGAAUAUUUGAAACAACAGAUAAGUCUCACUCAAAAUCACGCAUCAAAUAGUAACUUGUGCUAUAUUUCCAACACUUUUUGCUUCUUUUCCUUGUUUGAUUUCAUGAAAAAAAUUGAGUGCAAUGAAAUUUUUAUCUUCUUUUGUCUAUGAUGUUUUGGUGUAAAAUAAAAAAUAAAAAAAUAAGAGGGAUAUUAGGUAGCCCAUGAAUUUCCAAUUUUCCAUAUAGUUUGCAUGUUGCAAAAGGAGUUUUGUAACUAUUUUAAAAAAUAAAGGGAUUAUUUUAUUAUUUUGUCAAAUCACAGAAGUCUACAAAUUCUUUUCUCUACAGCUUAUUAUAAUAAUACACCUACAAGUUUUUUUUAUACUUAAAUUUAUACAAAGAUAUGAUUAGUCUUGUUUAUUUUUCUAUUUGAGUCAUAUUUUACAACAACAAUCCUUCGAGCUUUUUUUUUUCUUUAUUAUUUUGGGUAAUAUUUAAUAUCUUAAUAGCGCUAUUAAUUAUUUCUAAUAUUGUCCAUAUUAUCUCAUGUUUCUGCAAAGUUGUUCAAAUAGAUCUACACCUCACAAAUACAAGCCGAUAAGGUUAUAUCUCCAUGAUUGAAUCCAUCCAGAGAAGACAUUGACUCACACUAUUUGAAAACGCGUAUUGGAAGUUAACACCGGGAGCUUGCAAAACAAUUAAUUCUUAUAUAAACGCUUUGCAAGGAAUCAAAUAGCCAGCUCAAUCAACCGAAAACCAUUAUAAACAUGGCAGCAGCAUCCACUGUUUCGAGAUUGGUGGUCAUUUUAAUUUUAAUAAAUGUUGGUGCUAUAAGUGAUACGACAAUAUCUGUAACGGCAUCAGCUGCAAGAUUAUUGUCGUCACCCAUACUGUUAGAAAGGGAAGCUUUACUUGCUACCGGCUGGUGGGUCAACAAUUGGGCGACGUCGGGCAACUACACGUCCGAUCAUUGUAAGUGGACUGGCGUCAGUUGCAAUUCAGCGGGAAGCGUAAUCGGGGUCAGCUUACUCUGGUAUGAAAAUGAUAACAUCAAAGGAGAGCUCGGUUGUUUCAAAUUCUCUUGCUUUCCGAACCUCAGAAAUUUCAAAAUUCGUACAAAUUAUGUUCUCUCUGGGCGCAUUCCAUCUGAAAUUACUGCCCUUUCAAUGCUCCAAACUCUUGAACUGCCCUACAACGGCCUUACCGGUAAGCUGUGAAACUUCACCAUAUAUAUAUAUAUGUAUGUAUAAAAUCGCGCUGCUGCUUAAAGCAGGCGUCUGUUUUUACAACACUAAAGAAGUGUGAGUCGUCCGCACUUGAGCUUGACUCUCCCUCUAUGUAAUUUUUUUUUAAUGAAGAUAGUGAAUACUGAUCUCGUUUUUCAUAAAUCACAUGCACAACAGGAAUUAUCCCUUUAGAGAUGGGGCGAUUAAGGAAUCUCGUCCACCUGGAUCUAUCUGAUAAUCACCUCAUGGGACAUAUCCCUCCAACUCUUGGUGGUCUAAGCAAAUUGAAAAUUUUGAACUUGUCUUUUAACUCCCUUGUCGGUAAUAUCCCAUCCAAUGUAGGUCAUCUAACCCAGCUAACUACUUUGGCUAUUGCCUCAAACCAAAUGAAUGGUUCCAUCCCAUCAGGAAUCGGGAGUUUGAAGGUUCUUCAAGCUCUUGACCUGUCCAGAAAUGAAAUUGGAGGUUCAAUUCCUUCAACACUUGGCCAUUUAAAGUGGUUGAGAAGUGUAGACUUGUCCCAAAACAAACUUGUUGGCCCAAUCCCUUCGUCUCUGGGUCAUUUGACUCAAUUAACUACUUUGAAUAUGUACAACAACAAACUUGAUGGCCCAAUUCCUCCAGAACUCAUGAAUUGCUCAAAGCUGAGGAUAUUAAAAUUGGGAAACAACUUGUUAAGCGGAAGCAUUCCGUCACAGAUCGGCAAACUUCAAGAACUAUAUUAUCUUGAUCUAAGCGGUAACUUCAUUAAUGGUAAAAUACCUUCCCAACUUGGAGAAUUUCCACGCAUAGACACUGUGGACCUUUCCAUGAAUACUGCUGUACGGCCAAGGCGGAUGUACGGUACAGCAGACUUGUCCCAAAACAAACUUGUUGGUCCAAUCCCUUCGUCUGUAGGUCCUUUGACUCAGCUAACUACUUUGAAUAUGCACUCAAACCGAAUCAAUGGUUCCAUCCCAUUAGAAAUCGGGAAUUUGAACUUUCUUCAAGUUCUUGGCCUGUCCGACAACAAACUUGAAGGUCCAAUUCCUUCGACCAUAGCUAGUUUAGUCACUGUACGGCCAAGGCGGAUGUACGGUACAGCAGUGAAAUUUCAAUUUUGGAGCUUAGAAACCAAGAAAUGUAUUUGGUUGAUUAAUGUGAUUUUUCCAAUAAAGGAGACUGUUAAUUGGUUGUGAAAUUAUUAGGUAGUAGCAAUGUAGCAAAUAUUAUGUGUUCGACGAAUUGUCUGCCUUAGUCUGCUGUACGGCCAAGGCGGAUGUACGGUACAGCAGUGAAAUUUCAAUUUUGGAGCUUAGAAACCAAGAAAUGUAUUUGGUUGAUUAAUGUGAUUUUUCCAAUAAAGGAGACUGUUAAUUGGUUGUGAAAUUAUUAGGUAGUAGCAAUGUAGCAAAUAUUAUGUGUUCGACGAAUUGUCUGCCUUAGUCUGCUGUACGGCCAAGGCGGAUGUACGGUACAGCAGUGAAAUUUCAAUUUUGGAGCUUAGAAACCAAGAAAUGUAUUUGGUUGAUUAAUGUGAUUUUUCCAAUAAAGGAGACUGUUAAUUGGUUGUGAAAUUAUUAGGUAGUAGCAAUGUAGCAAAUAUUAUGUGUUCGACGAAUUGUCUGCCUUAGUCUGCUGUACGGCCAAGGCGGAUGUACGGUACAGCAGUGAAAUUUCAAUUUUGGAGCUUAGAAACCAAGAAAUGUAUUUGGUUGAUUAAUGUGAUUUUUCCAAUAAAGGAGACUGUUAAUUGGUUGUGAAAUUAUUAGGUAGUAGCAAUGUAGCAAAUAUUAUGUGUUCGACGAAUUGUCUGCCUUAGUCUGCUGUACGGCCAAGGCGGAUGUACGGUACAGCAGUGAAAUUUCAAUUUUGGAGCUUAGAAACCAAGAAAUGUAUUUGGUUGAUUAAUGUGAUUUUUCCAAUAAAGGAGACUGUUAAUUGGUUGUGAAAUUAUUAGGUAGUAGCAAUGUAGCAAAUAUUAUGUGUUCGACGAAUUGUCUGCCUUAGUCUGCUGUACGGCCAAGGCGGAUGUACGGUACAGCAGUGAAAUUUCAAUUUUGGAGCUUAGAAACCAAGAAAUGUAUUUGGUUGAUUAAUGUGAUUUUUCCAAUAAAGGAGACUGUUAAUUGGUUGUGAAAUUAUUAGGUAGUAGCAAUGUAGCAAAUAUUAUGUGUUCGACGAAUUGUCUGCCUUAGUCUGCUGUACGGCCAAGGCGGAUGUACGGUACAGCAGUGAAAUUUCAAUUUUGGAGCUUAGAAACCAAGAAAUGUAUUUGGUUGAUUAAUGUGAUUUUUCCAAUAAAGGAGACUGUUAAUUGGUUGUGAAAUUAUUAGGUAGUAGCAAUGUAGCAAAUAUUAUGUGUUCGACGAAUUGUCUGCCUUAGUCUGCUGUACGGCCAAGGCGGAUGUACGGUACAGCAGUGAAAUUUCAAUUUUGGAGCUUAGAAACCAAGAAAUGUAUUUGGUUGAUUAAUGUGAUUUUUCCAAUAAAGGAGACUGUUAAUUGGUUGUGAAAUUAUUAGGUAGUAGCAAUGUAGCAAAUAUUAUGUGUUCGACGAAUUGUCUGCCUUAGUCUGCUGUACGGCCAAGGCGGAUGUACGGUACAGCAGUGAAAUUUCAAUUUUGGAGCUUAGAAACCAAGAAAUGUAUUUGGUUGAUUAAUGUGAUUUUUCCAAUAAAGGAGACUGUUAAUUGGUUGUGAAAUUAUUAGGUAGUAGCAAUGUAGCAAAUAUUAUGUGUUCGACGAAUUGUCUGCCUUAGUCUGCUGUACGGCCAAGGCGGAUGUACGGUACAGCAGUGAAAUUUCAAUUUUGGAGCUUAGAAACCAAGAAAUGUAUUUGGUUGAUUAAUGUGAUUUUUCCAAUAAAGGAGACUGUUAAUUGGUUGUGAAAUUAUUAGGUAGUAGCAAUGUAGCAAAUAUUAUGUGUUCGACGAAUUGUCUGCCUUAGUCUGCUGUACGGCCAAGGCGGAUGUACGGUACAGCAGUGAAAUUUCAAUUUUGGAGCUUAGAAACCAAGAAAUGUAUUUGGUUGAUUAAUGUGAUUUUUCCAAUAAAGGAGACUGUUAAUUGGUUGUGAAAUUAUUAGGUAGUAGCAAUGUAGCAAAUAUUAUGUGUUCGACGAAUUGUCUGCCUUAGUCUGCUGUACGGCCAAGGCGGAUGUACGGUACAGCAGUGAAAUUUCAAUUUUGGAGCUUAGAAACCAAGAAAUGUAUUUGGUUGAUUAAUGUGAUUUUUCCAAUAAAGGAGACUGUUAAUUGGUUGUGAAAUUAUUAGGUAGUAGCAAUGUAGCAAAUAUUAUGUGUUCGACGAAUUGUCUGCCUUAGUCUGCUGUACGGCCAAGGCGGAUGUACGGUACAGCAGUGAAAUUUCAAUUUUGGAGCUUAGAAACCAAGAAAUGUAUUUGGUUGAUUAAUGUGAUUUUUCCAAUAAAGGAGACUGUUAAUUGGUUGUGAAAUUAUUAGGUAGUAGCAAUGUAGCAAAUAUUAUGUGUUCGACGAAUUGUCUGCCUUAGUCUGCUGUACGGCCAAGGCGGAUGUACGGUACAGCAGUGAAAUUUCAAUUUUGGAGCUUAGAAACCAAGAAAUGUAUUUGGUUGAUUAAUGUGAUUUUUCCAAUAAAGGAGACUGUUAAUUGGUUGUGAAAUUAUUAGGUAGUAGCAAUGUAGCAAAUAUUAUGUGUUCGACGAAUUGUCUGCCUUAGUCUGCUGUACGGCCAAGGCGGAUGUACGGUACAGCAGUGAAAUUUCAAUUUUGGAGCUUAGAAACCAAGAAAUGUAUUUGGUUGAUUAAUGUGAUUUUUCCAAUAAAGGAGACUGUUAAUUGGUUGUGAAAUUAUUAGGUAGUAGCAAUGUAGCAAAUAUUAUGUGUUCGACGAAUUGUCUGCCUUAGUAUUUUUUAAUUCCAUUCACACUACGACAUUAGUCUCUUUUGUAAAGCUAGUACUUUCGCAGUUCACUCUGAUAAAAUAAGGUUUGUCUAAUUGUCUCCAUCUCAAUGAUCUGAAUUAACCAGCAUAUUAAGGAAUUUAAGGUUGUGUCUCUACAAGUUAAAAAGGGUAAAUUGUCAUUCUAUUUAUUAGCUUAUUUUGCAAAUUAUAUAUAAAAAUUUCAUUCAGAACGAAGUUCUUGAUGUCGCGUUAUUCAAUAUAUUAGUUUUUUUUCACUCCUUUGUAAAUAUUCACACAAACAUAUACAAUAAAUUUUUAAUUUAGCUGAUCCGAUCAAACAUCCUGGACGCACCGCUGAUGUCAUCCGAAGGUGAGGAAGCUUCUGCAGAAGUUGUGGUUAGUGAUAUUCUGGUAAGCACAAGAUAAUUAAUUACUAGGAAAGAAAUAAUAAAAAUUUUUAUUAAUUACGAAACCGAUAACUAUAUAUUCGACACACUAUAAUUUUAUGAAAAAUGAAGAUCCAUACUAAUAUAAAACUAAAACCAACAUUAAUUAAAUUAUACGAUAACAACAAAUCCAGGAUAUAUUAACAAACACGUCGAUUUUGAAGCUGAAUUUAUAAUCUAAUCUUAACUCUAUUUCUUCUGUAUUUACAUAAUCAUCCUGCUAAUUAAGGAUUUACAACUUUGCCAUGAAAGGUCGGCGGCUCCAUGCCUUUUUCUUCUUCUCGUCACAAAUUUUGCUUUUGCUACCACUUCACCAUUAAAGAACAUCCCAAAGCUUGGUGCUGUUCGUGGAAGGACUAUUUUUCAAAACCCUAGCAAAAAAAUCCACAAAGUGACUAUGUUGAUCUCGAAACUUACUAUUAUUAUCAAACACUUGAUCACUUUAACUAUAAUCCACAAAGUUAUUUAACUUUUCCUCAUAGAUAUGCGUUGAACUUCAAGCAUUGGGGUGGUGGCAGAGCCAUGGCGGCGCCCGAUACUGGCAUAUCUUGGUGAAGAGAGUAGUCUUGAUAUGAUGACCUUGGUGGCAUUGGAUGGCUUACUAAUAAUGCUCAUCGAUUUAAAGCCUUACAAGUUUACAUAGAGGUAAGUAAAGAAUAUGUUAUCAGGCUAGCUUGAUAAUAAUUGAAAUAGAGUUCACAUACGAAAUAAUAAUAAUAAAGACAAAUCUUAAUCAGAAUAUUCUACAAUAUGAACUGAAAAGUUGUGAUGGAUUUUUUUUUAAUUCAAUUUUUUAUGCAGUAUCGGUUCUAUGGAAAAUCAGUACCUUUUGUAUCAAGCAAAGAUGCCCUAAAGAAUGCAACUCUUCGUGGAUAUUUCAACUCUGCUCAAGCUUUGGCUGAUUAUGCAAGAUUCUCUUACACAUCCAGAAAAAUUUAUCGGACGAAAUGUCUCCCAUUAUGGUUGUUGGAGCAUCUUAUGGAGGAAGUAAAUUAUAAUAUUAUUAACUUACUUACAUCUUUUGAUUAAUGUCGUGUCAUCUGUCACAUCAUUUUACUCAUUUAGAUCACGAUUGAUCGAUCAAGAUAUUGACUACGGCAAUAUUACUAUGAUACAAAUUUAUUUAAUAUUGCAACUAACGAAUACUCUUGGCGAUCGUAAAAUCAAGAAAUAAUAAAUAUAUUCAAGAUAAUUAUGUAUUUAAAAAUAAUCUUCUCAAUUCAUCCUAUUUUAUCAGAUCUGGGAUGUGAUAUGGUUUCGAGAGUUACUUGUUUGUUGGUUUGUUAUCAACAAUGCUUGCUGCAUGGUUUCACUUGAAGUAUCUUCACAUUGCUUUGGGAGCAGUUGCCUCAUCCGCCCCAGUUCUCUACUUUGAGAAUAUCACACCGUCAAACGCAUAUUAUGAUCUUGUCACCAAGGACUUUCGGGUAAGAAAUAAAUUAGUUAAUUAAAAUUUUAUAUAAGCAUGAUUAUGUUUUCUUGUUAAAAUUUAGCCAUUGAAUUUUAAAAAUUAAUGAUGCAGGAAGCCAGCGAGAGCUGCUACAAGACCAUCAAACAGUCCUAGGCUGAAAUCGAUAAAGUCGCUGCUGGAAAAAAUGGACUUGCUUUUCUCUCUAUAAAGUUCAAAACCUGCAAGUAAUUAAUCAUAUUACUUUACAUAACUGCUUAUAUUGUAUAUCCAUCCGAUUUUCCCUUAAUUACAAUUAAUGCAAUGUUAUUUUAGCAUCGUUAUCGAAUGUACCAUGUCUAAUUAAUUAUCUGUCAUCCUCAGCGUGUAUAUACAUUUCGAUUAACGUGUAAUAUACAAAGUAAAAAUCUGGAUUUGGGCUUAUACACGGCCUUUGCGUUACCAUAUAUAGUAUACUGGUGCUUAGGUUCAGACGUCCAUAUUUUGCAGAAUCUAAAUUUAAACUACAAAACCACGCAAAACUCUGAUAAUCAAAUGAGGCCAAAUUUGAACGUUUGCAUUUGAGAAUAUCAAUAGCUUCAUACUUAUAAAGUUUAUUGUAAUCUAACUAAAUAUAACAACAUUUUUAAGACAGUAUGUUGAAAGAUCUUUUAUAAAGUUAAUGACCUUGUGGCACUUAAUUCUAUGUUAUUGUUUAUUUGAUUACAGGCCUCUGAAGGAUGUUUCAGAAUUGAAAGAUUAUUUAGAGUAUAUGUAUACGGGUGCAGCUCAGUAUGAUGAUCCUCAGGAAAGCCCAGUGAACAAAGCCUGUAAUGGUAUUGAUGGAGCUUUAGAAGGCACAGAUACCCUAGACCGGAUCUUCUCAGGAAUUGUUGAUUUAAGAGGGGAGGAUUCUUGCCAUGAUGUUGAUGAAUUCUUCUCCGAUGCAACAUUGGACUCCAGCUGGGGCAGACAGGUAUGCAAUUACAAGUGACAUGAUUUCAUUGGUUAGUUCUAUUGAGACCGUUAAAUAAACAACAUGUGGCAAUGAGAACAAUACCUAUUUUAUGUACAUCUCUUAAUUUUAUUUAUGAGACUUUAUAUUUAUGAAUGAUUAAAAAUAGUUUUCUUCUUUAUCUUAUUUUAUUAUUAUUAUUUUUUAUUUUUGGGGGGUUUCUCAUGCAGACAUGCAGUGAAAUGGUCUCACCAAUUGGAAUUGGCAAAAACGACAUAAUGUUUCAAGCAGACACAUUUAAUCUGACAGAAUAUAUGGAUUCAUGCAAUAAGUCUUAUGGAGUGGUUCCAAGACCACAUUGGAUUACAACUUAUUAAAGUGGUAAUGUAAGUGUCGAUUAAUCCCCAAAUUAAUUCUUCUAAUAUUUUAAGGUUUCUCAUUUUCUGUUUUAAUUAUAAAGUUCACCUCAAGUUUUGUUUGAUUUCUAUUUCUUUUUAAUUUGCAAGAUAUAAGAGUGGUUUUAAAGAGAUUUGGUAGCAACAUUAUUUUCUCUAAUGGCCUUCGUGAUCCCUAUAAUAGCGAGGGGUAAUUAAGCUUAAGAAUUAUGUACACUCUUUUCUAUCGAAGUUACCUGUUUAAUUAUAUACCUUUUUUUGUUUCUUCUUUUUUGGGGGGGGGGGGGUUUUUUUUCAUUAUUUUUACUCUGAGUUGUCUAAAUGUGUAGAACAGGUGUGCAAUAUUACUUAAUGUAAAGCACUUAAGGCUCAAUCUUUAUGUAAUAAUCAUAUGGUGAAUAUCAAUUCAUAUACAAUAAGAUUGGGUUAACCAUUUUCUCCCUUUGAUUUAAGAGUUACCGUAUAGGUACUUGAAGCUGGAGAGAGUCAAAGAUUUGCCCUCCACACACACACACACACACACACACACAUAUGGAAAUGUUUUAAUCUGAAAUUUUAAAGUGCGGGAAUAUCUAGGAAAACACAUAAACCAUGCGGUUUAAACCUUUAAAACCCUGUGGUUUUAAAGUUUUUCCAAACGUUUCCGCACUUUUAGAUCCCUUAUAUGCCUCAAAAGUUAGGUGUUUAUGCUUAUAUGCUCCGUUUAUUAGUAGCCAAGCUUACGAGUAUAUUGCUUUAGGCGAACCUCUCCCUAUUCUUCUCCAUAAUGGCUAUUUCUCUUAAUUAUUUGACAAUCUAAUGCAAUCCCAAACGUGACUUAGCAUCAAGUUUAGGAUGGCGGUGGCUGAUAAAAUAAGUUAUUUUUGUUGUGAGGAUGAAAUAAGUUGAUGGUUAAAAAAGUGUCUUGCUCGUGUUUGGUAAAUUUGAUUAUGAAUGUGUUGUAUUAUUUAAUCACUAAAAUAGACAUAAGUUUAAACUGUGUUUUAUUUAUAUAUUAGAGCUUAUAGAAAAGAAAGAUAUAAUUAUUCUUUUCUUAAAAUAUUAAGAUUAUUAUAGGAACAUUUAAAAAGAUCUAGCAACUUAUUUAAUAAGUUGCUUAUCAAAAUAAUCUCCUGCCUGUUUUUAGAAGUUUUAGUCAAAAUUGAGAAAAUUGUGAAAGAAGCAACUUUUAACAAAGCCAUCAAACCUCAUUUUUAUCUAAACUUAUAAAAUAAACUGCUUAUAGCAUUUCAAUCACAAUCUUGGGGCAUUAGUGUUUAUGUAGAAUCAGAUUAGACAUUGAAUAUUUCUAAUUUUCUACACAUAUAAAUUAAAAUAUGUAGACUAGAAAAACCCCUUGACUUCGUAAGUCCACCUCAUUCUUUAAUUUCCACAGCACAUGUCAAGACGUUUUUUUCCAAAUAAUUGCUGACUAGGAGAAGUCUUAUAGUCAAGGUGAUUAGAUGAGCGUGUUAUGGAAUUAGGUAUCGUAGGGGUUCCCUGCCCUCAACUAAAAAAGUUGCCUUAAAUUUUUUUUUUUUUAAGUAAAAGUUGCCUUAAAAAUUAAAUAUUAAAUAAUAUGGUGUAUAUAUAUAUAUAUUAGUCUUCAUGUUUUGCACAUGUUCGAACGGCAAUUGUAAUAUUAAAUAAUAUGGCAUUAUUAAAGUUUAAAAAAUAUCUAAAAUUAAUCAUAAAAAUAUAUUUUUUUAACUCUUAAUGUUUUGCACAGGUAUGGACGGCAAUUAUACAAUGAGAACGAAACAAUAAUACAAUGGUGUGUUUGACAAACUGUAUUGUAUUAUGUUGUAUUGCAUUAUUUUAUUGCAGGUGUAUUGUAUUAUGUUGUAUUGCAUUAACACUGUAUUAUAAUAAUGUUGUACAAUGUUUGGCGUUACAUUGUACUGUAUUAAUUUUUUUGUGAUUAAUUUAAAUUAUAUAUUUAGAAAAUAAUAUUUAUUAGUACUUAAAAAUAAUAAAUAUAAAAUUCUUAAAUUUUGGAAAUUUAACAUUUUUAUUAAAAAUAUAUAUUGAAAUGUCAUAAUUCUUCCGAAGCUUAUAGUCUUAAAUUUUUGGAAGUGUAUUUUUUAGUAUUUUCUAAAUAUAUAACUUAUGAAAUAAAGAUCAAAGUAAAUAAUUUAAUCAAAUAAUCACUAAAUAAUUUAACAACAUAAAUAAAUAGUUGAAAUCUUCAAGAUUAAUUCAAAAAUCAUUUGAGGAUGAUAGAAUAAAAGUUUAUACAUAUUACAAGAUAAUUAUAGAAUAAUAAAGUGAUACAAUUGUUAUGACAUAUUCACUAAGAAAAUAAAUUGAGCUAAAUAAUCCAGUAAUUAUUUAUAUUAUUAAUUUUCAAUUAAUAUUAUUCAAAUUUAUUCAAAUUUAAAUAUUUAUUGUUAGUUAUAUUAAAUUAUUUAAAAAUAGCUAAAUUAAUUAUUGUACUAUAAUUAAUAAUGUAAUAUUAUAUUAUUUAAGUAUUUAUUACUAAUUAUAUUAACUUAUUAAAGAUUAAUUAAUAUAAUUUUAUAUAUUAAUUAAAAUAAUACAAUUAAAUAAUACAUUGUUUAGUUAUAUAUUUAAAAUAAUAAAAAUUAAAACAUAAUUUAAUAUUAUGUAAUAUAAUAUUAAAUUAAAAAAUUAUAUUAAUUUGUUAUUAUUAUUAUUACAAAGAGCAAAAAAAAAAAAAAGGCAAACUAAGUUGCCACAUUAGCUAACCCCAACUAAGGGUCGGGUAAACACCCCCAAUAUGAACACUGGUUAAGCUAAUUGGGGUGGUUAAAAUUUGCACUCCCGUGACCGUGCACAAGGAACGCCCCUUUGCUUAUAAUAGCUUACCGUUCAUCUAGUAAUUAUGUAUAAAUCUUUCCAAUGUGGGACAAAUGUAUUUUCCUUUAAUUUUUCAAAUUCAUGAGUGCACUUUGAGUAACAAUUUCUCAUUCACUUGAGGAUCAUUUUGAUCGUAUAGAUAACAUUCCGAAGUACUCAUAGAGGAAUAUGCGAAACAAUUUCUGAAUUUUCACUUAUACCAAAAAGGUCUCAUUCAAAAUCAUGCCUCAAGUAGCUACUUGCGCAUUAUUUUUCUAACACUUUCUUUUUUCUUUUUUUUUAAAUUUGGUUGCGUGCAGAAAAAUUGAGCGGUAAUGAAAAUUUCAUCUUCUUUCAUUUAUGAUGUUUAGGGUUAAAAAAAAAAAUGUUAGUUAGCCCAUGAGCUAUGGUAUGUAUGUUACAAAAGAUAUGAUUAGUCUUGUUUAUUUUCCUAUUUGAGCCAUUAUUUAUAACAAUUAUUUUCUUUGAACGGUUUUCCUUUUCUUAUUUUGGGUAAUACUUAAUAUCUUAUACUACUAAUAAUGCUAUUAAUUAUUUCUAAUAUUGUCCGUAUUAUCUCAUGUUUCUGCAAUGUUGUUCAAAUAGAUCUACACCUCACAAAUACAAGCCGAUAAGGUUAUAUCUCCAUGAUUAAAUCCAUCUAGAGAAGACCUUGACUCACACUAUUUGAAAACGCGUGUUGGAAAUUAACACCGGGAAGUUGCAAAACAAUUAAUUCUUAUAUAAACGCUUUGCUGAGAAUCAAAUGCUCAAUCAACCGAAAACCACCAUAAACAUGGCAUCAGCGUCCUCUGUUUCGAGACUGGUGGUCAUUAUAAUUUUAAUAAAUGUUGGUGCUAUAAGUGAUACGACAGUAUUUGUAAUAGCAUCAGCUGCAGGAUUGUUGUCGUCACCCAUACAGUUAGAAAGGGAAGCUAUACUUGGUACAGGCUGGUGGAUCAACAAUUGGGCGACGGGCAACUCCACGUCCGAUCAUUAUAAGUGGACUGGCAUCAGUUGCAAUUCAGCGGGAAGCGUACUCGGGGUCAGCUUACUCUGGUAUGAAAAUGAUAACAUCGAAGGAGAGCUUGGUCGUUUCAAAUUCUCUUGCUUUCCGAACCUCAGAAGUUUCAAAAUUCAUUCAAAUUAUCUUCUCUCUGGGAGCAUUCCAUCUGAAAUUACUGCCCUUUCAAUGCUCCAAACUCUUGAACUGUCCUCCAACUAUCUUACCGGUAUGCUACGAAACUUCACUAUAUAUAUGUAUGUAUGUAUGUAUGUAUGAAGUCGUGCUCAUGCUUGAAGCAGGCGUCUGUUUUUACAACACUGAAGAAGUUUUUUUUUACGAGGAUUGCUUUAUAAAUUUUAUUUGCUAUGAGGAUAGUGAAUACUGAUCUCGUUUUUCAUAAAUCACAUGCGCAACAGGAAUUAUUCCUUCAGAGAUGGGGAGAUUGAGGAAUCUUGUCCACCUGGAUCUAUCUAAUAAUUACAUCUGGGGAUAUAUCCCUCCAACUCUUGGUCGUCUAAGCACAUUUUUGUUGUGUGAAAGUGAAACUAUAUAAUAAAUUUCUACAUCUUUGUUUAUUACUUCGGUAGUGUUUUAAUUUGGAGAAUAUGCUGGUUGGCUUUUUUUCCUUCAAUUUUUGUAUGAAAUGAAUCGGCUUCAAGUGUCAGUUUCUUUUCCAAAUUGCAUCCAUCAAUUGCAAUUGUUACAUUGGGCGAUUACAAGUUGUACGUAAUUAUUAAGGAAGGCAGGUUUAAGCAUUUUUGGUUUGUAUCUUUUCCUCUCUUUUUUUCCCCUUUGCAUUAAAAUUCAGGGUUAUCCUAUAAAAGAUAUGAUUAAAAAUCAAAAGCACUAUUUCUAAUUUCACACAUAUACAGUUCCUCAUUAAUUUACUAAAUUUACUUUUGUAUUUACACAAUAGGAUAGUCAAUUGAGAGCACUGAGAGUGAUUCUCUCCACUCUCCAUAGUUUUGUAUUAAUUUAUUGAUAUAUUUGUUGCAUCUGCGGAUUUAACUUUCAGUAAAAAAUAUGCAGCAUUGACGAGCCCCAACAAAAAAUAAGAAUAAAAAAACUAUUGGAGCACUAAAAAAUCUAUUAAUUUUUACAACCUAAGCAUUUCUUUAUAAAUUUUAUUUAUAUGAGGAUAGUGAAUACUGAUUUCAUUUUUCAUAAAUCACAUGCGCAACAGGAAUUAUCCCUUCAGAGAUGGGGAGAUGGAGGAAUCUGGUCCACCUGGAUCUAUCUAAUAAUUACCUCUUGGGAUAUAUCCCUCCAACUCUUGGUCUCUAAGCAAAUUGAAAAUUUUGGACUUGUCUUCUAACGCCCUUCAUGGUAAUAUCCCUCCAACUCUAGGUCAUCUAACCCAGCUAACUACUUUGGCUAUUGCCUCAAACCAAAUUAAUGGUUCCAUCCCAUUAGGAAUCGGGAGUUUGAAGGUUCUUCAAGUUCUUGACCUGUACGACAACAAACUUGAUGGUCGAGUUCCUCCAAAACUCAUGAAUUGCUCAAAGCUGUGGGAAUUAGAUUUGGGAAACAACUUGUUAAGUGGAAGCAUCCCGUCAGAGAUUAACAAACUUCAAGAACUAAAUUAUCUUAAUCUGAGCCAUAACUCCAUUAAUGGUAAAAUACCUUCCCAGCUUCGAGAAAUUCCACGCAUACGCACCAUGGACCUUUCCAUGAAUAACCUCUCCGGUAGUAUCCCUGAAUCUGUCAAAAAAGUGCCUCUCUUAUAUGUGUCAGGCAACAAUUUCGAGGUAAAAAUCCCAAAUACUUCGGCAAAUUCGCCACCGCCACAUCACAAAAAGAUUGCCACUCGCUUGGUUGCAAUUAUUCUCCCUAUGGUCGCAUUGCUUGCCUUGAUAUUUGGAAUCUUGUUUGUCCGUAGACGAAGGGAUAAGAGAGUUGAACCAGCUGAGACAGGAGAAAUCACCAAGUGCGCUGAUGAGUUUGCAAUUUGGAAUUACGACGGUAAAAUUACAUUUCAAAACAUGAUUGAAGCUACCGAGGAUUUCCAUAUCAAAUACUGCAUUGGAACCGGAAGCUACGGCAGCGUUUACAGAGCACGACUACCCAGUGGAAAAGUAGUUGCUUUGAAGAAGCUUCACCGUUCAGAAACUGAGGAGUUAGCUUCCCUCGAGAGUUUCCGGAAUGAGGCUCGUCUACUGUCCCAAAUACGGCAUCGAAAUAUCGUAAAGCUUUACGGGUUUUGUUUGCACAGGAAAUGCAUGUUCUUAAUCUAUGAGUACAUGGAAAUGGGAAGCUUGUUCUGUGUUCUACGCACAGAUGAGGAAGCUGUUGAUUUGGAUUGGGCUAAAAGGGUGAACACUGUGAGGGGCAUGGCUCAUGUUAGCUGGCACUUAUGGAUAUAUUGCUCCAGGUAAUCUUCUAGCCGUUCUUCUUAUGCUUCUUUAAUUAUUCUUUUAAUUAAUUUCUAUAUGCACUCUGUUAAGUAAGUUUUAAGCAGUUUUAUUUAGUUAGCUACUUAGGUUCGAAUUUUGGAAUAGGUAAGGAGCUAGAAAGAUAAAUUUGAACUUUGCCUACCCGUUUAACUUUUUUUUAAAAAAAAAAAAAAUACACAGUUUAAAUAUCAAUUAAAAACAUAUGUUUCUUUGUCAUACCUUGCUGCAGAAGCUCAAAAAUAUAAACAAAUUACUCUUGUUAUUAUAUAGGAAAUAUCACUAAUAAAGGCUUCUGUUUUCCUAUAGAACUGGCCUACACCAUGAUUGUGACGGAGAAAUCUGAUGUUUAUAGCUUCGGAGUGGUGGCACUAGAAGUACUAAUGGGAAAGCAUCCUGGAGAGCUCCUCUCAUCGUUAUCUUCGUCAUUAGAUAAAAAUAUUAAGCUGAUUGAUUUGCUGGACCCACGCCUCUCACCUCCGGUGGAUCAAAAGAUUAGGCAGGAUGUCAUUCUUGUUUCAACAGUAGCAUUUUCAUGCUUGCGUUCUCAACCAAAGUCUCGACCUACAAUGCAACUCGUGUCCAACGAAUUUAUCGCUCGCAAUAAGGCACUGAUGCAGAAACCUUUUCAUGAAAUUUCAAUUUUGGAGCUUAGAAACCAAGAAAUGUAUUUGGUUGAUUAAUGUGAUAUCUAAUUAUGGAUGCGUAUAUUUAACUGUUCAUGCAUGUGAUGGGAUUGCUUCUAAUCAUAAUGGAUUUUUCCAAUAAAGGUGACUGUUAAUUGGUUCUGAAAUUAUUAGGUACUUGCAAUGUAUUAUUAAUUCUAUUUUCACGUUCACUUCCUAUAUAUGUUGAAUUGCAAUUAAACAAAUGUGCAAACUACGACAUUAAUCUCUCUGGUUAAGCUAGUACUUUCGCAGUUCACUCUGAUAAAAUAAGUUUUGUCUAAUUGUCUCCCUCUGAAUGAGCUGAAUUAAAUAAGGAAUUUACGGUUGUAUCUGUACGAGUUAAAAGGGUAAAUUGUUAUUUUAAUUAUUAGUUUAUUUUACAAAUUAUAUACAUAAACUUUAUUCAGAACGAGGUUCUUAAUGUCGCGUUAUUUAAUAUAUAUUAGUUUUUUCACUCCUUUGUAAAUAUUCACACAAACAUAUACAAAAAAAUUUUAAUUUAGCCGAUCCGAUCAAACAUCCUGGACCCACGGCUGAUGUUAGGAAGCUUCUGCAUAAGUUGUGGUUAGUGAUAUCCCACCAACUACCUGCCAGCACAAGAUAAACUAACGUCAGGUCAUGAUCAAGAAAAAUUUGCAUUGGGCCGAAGAGUCCAAUGUCAUAAUCAUGCAUAUAUGAAGCACUUUCAAAUGGUUGAUCUAACAGUGUCUGGUUUUCAUUUUUUGAGCUUUUUACCAACGACUGGAGAGUAGAGAACAACACAUGAUCCCCAUUACAGUAUUGUUGCUUGAAUUUACAGGCUUCAUCAUUCAGUACCUUCAAAUCUAUAUAUGACGAGAUGGAAGAAUGAACUUAAAUUUAUUAUUGUAAUUUCUGAGUUUUAAAAUGAUAAAGUAACACGCUGCUGGUUCAUUGAAAUUUAAGACAUUCAAAAUGGAGCGCAAGAGAAAAAUAAAAGUUAAGAGCUUUACCUUCAGCAUAAUAAGGAGUCUGCUGCAUCAGGCUCACUUUAUCUGCCUCUAUAGACCACCACCUCUUCAUCUUCAGCCUUCUCAAUGACACUCUCUGCGGUUUCUUCAUUUCAUUCUUGGGCCACCGCAUCUUCAUCUCCAACAUUCUCAGUAGGCUCUGAUGGUGUCACAAUUGUAGUGCGGGUGGUGAGGGGGACGGCCUCAUUAUUUUUCCUAGAUCCAUUAGACCGAGCCAUGUGUUUCUUCCCCCUUUUAUGACCCUCCAUCACAACAGCGGACUGAGUACCAACCUGAAAAACUUCACACCAGAAUUCGAAGUUCUCUCUAAGGGGAAGUUUUCUCCUCAUCGUCCCUCCAGUUGGUAUUCCAUUUGUUGUCUUCUGAGUGAUUGCAUUCAACGCCUUCUUCUUUGGCAGCUCCUCAUUUUUGUUCUCUGAAUCUUCUUCGCCCCCCACAUUCUGGUCAAAACCCACAACAGUUUUAAUAGCUUUAACUGAUUCUGUUUAGGCUUUCAUUUCUUGGCCGGCGCUAUCUCUGCUUUUGGUAAGCUUAAUUGUCUUUCCAGAUUCUUUUGAUGUUGUUUGAAAGAAAACAGAGAUGUGCUGUUUGGUUGAAUAGAAAAUCACAGAGAAAAUUCUCAAUACUGGUAUUGGAUAAGAUUCGAUUCAUAAGAACUUUUACAAAUCAGUACAAGUAUUUAUAUUAUUCCUUACACGUGAGAAUUGCUUAGUAACUCACUAACUAACUAACUAACUUUUAUGAGCUGGAUCGCUAACACUUGACUAAUCACGCUGAGCUGUUAUUCUUCACUAACAACCUUCUGCUGACGUGGCUUCACCAAGCUGCUUGAAUAAUGAGCAGCCUUGACAUUGUUGAAGAUGAGGUAGUGCACAUCUUCUGAGCUCCAAUUAGCUCCGUUUAAGAUGCUCAUCUUGACCACAGUCCACUUUCUGGUCUAAAUCAACGACAUUUUUAUUAGGUUUAACUGAUUCCUCUUCUAGAGUAGCCUUAAUUUCCUGGCCAGCACUAUCUCUGCUCAGUAGAGUUUUUUGAAGUGGAGUUACUGCACAUCUUCUCAUCUCCAAGUAGUCCUUCUUCCUGGCCUUGUGCUUCUUGCCGUGAAGAUGCUCAUCUAGAUCUCUCUUGCUAGUAGUACUGACCUGACAGAGGGCACAACUCCAAUCCAUGGGGUUUCUUUGAACUCGUCAACAUGAGCUCUCCAGAACCUGCUGGUAGUGUGGAAGCUUCCUGUUUUGAUCCACAAAGAUUGGGAUAUGGUUUAACCUGCUGGGCUUGACAACCCUCCUCUUUCUGGUCUAAACCAACAACAGUUCUAUUAGCUUUAACUGAUUCCUAUGUUGCUUUAUUCUUCAUUUCUUGGCCAGCACUGUGAUACGACACUCUUUAAGCGAGUGCAGGCUCCAAUCUGUGGGGAAAAGAAUUUGCAGAAAGAGAAAAGGGACAGGGGAAUUGCAGAGAAGAGAAAGAAGACGAAGCUGAAAAAAGACAAAAUGAUAUAUUCUUUUUUGAUAUCCCUCAUGGGUCCCUUUGACAGUACAAUAUAUUCUCUCUCCCAAAAACAGCCAUGCACCCUUAACUAACUAAAAUAGAAUAAAAUUGAUAACAACAAAAUAAUAAUUGAAAACAAAACAAUAUUCGUUAUUAUAAUCUCUCAAGCAUUCUCGAACAUUCCUCAAAUGACAAAGUCUUUGAGCCAUCCUGGUUUCUUUCUCGCGCGAGCUGAACCUGUCUUGAGCUGCUCUCUAGCUUGUGUCUCAUUCACGGGUUGGACUUCUUCCAUUUCUGCAGGCUGGGUCUCUUCCCUUGCUGUCUCAUUGUGCUCGAUCUGAUUCACAACAAUUGGCCAGGUUGUAUCAUUCCCCAUUCCUUGAAAGCUUACCUUGUCCUCACGGUGUAGUGCAGGGUAGAGUUUACGAAAUUCCUCAAAGUCCUCCCAAGUUGAAUUUUCUGGUGAGCUAUCAGACCAUUGCACCAAAAUUUGUGGAAUUUCUUUGCCUUGUCGAAGUAUCUUUCGCUCAGCACAUACUGCAAUUGGUGAUGACAAGGGCUUGUUAUCCACACUUCCUGGAGGCAGUGAAUAAACAUCAAUGGGGGAGUUUCCCACAUAAGGUUUUAGUAAGGAAAUAUGGAACACCGGGUGAAUUCUACAAUUUGUGGGUAACUCUAACUUGUAAGCAACGGGUCCAAUACGCUCUACCACUGUGAAUGGUCCAUAAUAGCACCUUGCCAGCUUAUGAGAUGAGCGCUUAGCAACUGAUGUCUGGCGAUAUGGCUGAAGGUGCACCAACACUUUAUCACCUACCUGCAAUUGAGUUUCUCGGCGAUGUAAAUUAGCCUUUUGAGCCAUUCGAUGCUGAGCUUGUCGUAAGUUCUCUUUCAAUGAGCAAAGCAUGGCAUCCCUCUCAAUUAACAUGUCUUCUAAAGCUUGGAUUGAAGUAGAGCCCCUUGAGUAACUUGGAAUUGUGGGAGGAAAACGACCAUAAAGGGCUUGAAAGGGAGUCAUUCGCAAGCUGCUGUGAUAACUGGUAUUGUAGCAAAAUUCAGCCCAGCCUAAAAAUGAAGACCAUGUCUGUGGCUUGUCUUGUGAGAAGGCUCGUAAAUAUUGCUCAAGCCCUCGAUUAACUACUUCGGAUUGACCAUCCCUUUGGGGGUGGUAAGCCGUGCUGUGCCGUAACUGUGUACCACUUAAAUCAAACAAUUUCUGCCAAAAGUUGCUCAUGAAUAUAGGAUCACGAUCUGAAAUUAUAGAGCUAGGAAAUCCAUGUAAUUUUACAACCAUGUCAGCAAAUAAAGCUGCUGUUUUGAUGGCAGUAAAUUGAGAAGGCAAGGCUCCAAAGUGAGCUGACUUUGAUAAACGAUCCACAACAACNNNNNNNNNNNNNNNNNNNNNNNNNNNNNNNNNNNNNNNNNNNNNNNNNNNNNNNNNNNNNNNNNNNNNNNNNNNNNNNNNNNNNNNNNNNNUUACUGCUGUACCGUACAUCCGCCUUGGCCGUACAGCAGUUUUUCCUCCUUAACUUCAGAGCUAUCAGAUGUCUCCUUACUAGAGGUGGAACCAGUAAUUGCCUGUAAAUAAAUUUCAUCAGCAAAUUUGCACAAGUGAAUGUUCAUGUAUAAUCAAGUAACAGUUCCACAUAAAAAUCAAACAACAAACUGAAUCAACAUGGACUCGAUAAAACUAAUGGCAUAAUCAGACUACCAUUAUCAGUUGAAGUUAAUUUUAUACUCGCGUAUGUAACUCCUCGACAAAAUGUACAUUAAAACCAGUAAAUAAAUAGAACAGAAUAAAGAAGAAUAUUCCAUAUUAUGAAAUAUCUGAAGAUAUUUAUGAAUAAAAAUGUCAGCACUGUACUGAACAGCAUCACAGUUGAAGCUAAUAUUACUCUUUUAAAAAACAAAAAAAAAGAAAGAAAUGAAUUUGAUAUUAAAAAAUUAUAUAGUUACCUUAACGGUGAUACGUCGAUUUAGAUCAGCAUAAUUCAUCGUUCCCUGCGAUAAUAAAUCAGACACGAGACUCCAUUUCCAUUACACACAAAACGCCCAAGCAUUAAGUAUUAACAGGAAGAAAAAACGACAAAAAAAUAUUGCGUUUUACCAGAGAAUUGAAAGAAGAAGAAGCAGUAGGCUUCCGUUGAUUGAAUCUGAAGCUUUGCAAAGGCAAAGCGGAUGAUCUGAAAUAUUAACCAAAAAAAUUAAAAAAUGAAAACGAAUUAAAGGAGAAUUAAAAUAAAAAUUAAAAAAAGAAGAAGAAAAAGAGGACCUUGGAAGAUUCUGUAGACAGUUCAUUGAUUGAAGAAGAAAGGAAAAUAUCAGAGCAAAUCGUCAAGCAGACAAGUGUGUGUGUGUAAUAAGACCGUUUGAUUUUUUUUUUUUCGUUUUCCUUAUUUUCAUGGUGAAUUUUAUAUAAUUUUUUGAUUAUUUAUAUAUAUAUAUAUAUAGAUAUUUAUUAAAAGAUAAUAAAAUAUAACAUAGUGUCCAAGUCAGAUUGAAAAUAAAUCAACACGUAUGAUUGUUGAAUUGUUAAUUGUGUUAUAAAUAAUUUCGCAUCUUAUUUCAAUUAUUGCCUAUCAAUCUACACUUUCUUCUAGUUUGCAUAAUGACUUCGUUGUUCUUGUAAGAUCUAUAUAGUUUUCUUUUUGUGUGUGCGUGUGGGGUAGGGGGGGUGGGGCGCGGCUACUGGGAGCCUUUGAUAAAGAAAACGACGUUGUUACAGUGAAUCUCAGGGUCCAUGUUUGUGUGAUGAUAUUUUUCGUGAGAGGUUAUGGUGUCUAAUUGGGCGGACACACGUUUGGCUUGUAGAUGAUAUGACUGUGUAACCAUGUUGCAGCUGUUGCUUGCUUUCAGCAUUCUAAUCAUUGACCAACUUGGGAUCUUCAUAUCCGUUGGUGGAAUUAUUUGCACCAUCUAAGUCUUGACGGGCACCCCUUGAUUAUACUCGGUGGAAUAAAUUUUGCACUUAUUUUUAAAAAUAAAUAAAUAAAGAAUCCCCCGUGGGGAAGUUAAAGUGCAAACACGAAUUGAUUAGUGAAGAGGACACAGAGAUUUGACAUGAUAAUUAAUCAUCUCGUUAUGAUGUGUUAGUGUAUAAUGGUUAAUAUUUACCUCAAUUUUUUUUUAUUUCUAUUUCUUUUAUAUUUGCAGGACAUAAGAGUGGUUUUAAAUAGAUUUGGUAGCAACAUUAUUUUCUCUAAUGGCCUUCGUGAUCUCUAUAGUAGCGCUGGGUAAUUAAACUUCUAUCGAAGUUACCAAUUUAAUUAUACAUUUUUUUCUUUUCUUUUUUGAGGUUAUAGGGUUCUAAAAGAUAUAUCAGACAAUAUAAUAGCAGUGACAACAAGAAACGUUAUGUAAAUUUUUCUAUAAAAUAAAAAAAUUAGUGUUCAAUUAUUAACUAAAUUAUUGGAUAACAUAAUUAAUAGUGUGUAAAUUGGAGCAGGUUCCCAUUGCUUAGACAUACAGCCAGUAACAGAAGAUGAUCCAGAGUGGUUAGUAAUGCAGCGAAAGAUUGAAGUGGACAUGGUUCAUGAUUGGAUCCUCAAAUACUUUGCUGAUUUGCUUCAAAAUCAGAGCAUAAGAUUAUAUUGUGACUACAAAAUUAGUCUUUUCUUUUUCUUCCUCUCCUCUAUCUUUCUAAUAUUUAUGGAGCAAAGAUAAAUAAUAGUGCGCCUAGCUAGUUUUAGAUUUGGUCAUUUUCAUAAUUCUUAAUCUGGGUUGUCUUAAUGUGUAGAACAAGUGUGCUUACUUAUUGUAAAGCACAUAAAAAGGGUUCAAUCUUUAUGUAAUAAUCAUAUGGGGAAUAUCAAUUCAUAUACAAUCACAUUGAUUUAACCAUUUCCUUGAAGCCGGGGAGAGACAAAGAAUUUGCCCUCCAUAUACAUGUAUCUCUCAAAACUUGGGUGUUUAUCCUUAUAUGCUCCGUUUAUUAGUAGCCAAGCUUAUGAGUGUAUUGCUCCAGGUGAACCUAUUCUUAUUCUCCCACAUAAUAGCUACUUUUGUUUAAUUAUUUGACAAUCCAAUGCAAUUCCAAUCAUGACUUGGGAUCAGUUUGAAAUUCAGAUGGCUGAUGAAAUAAACUACUUCUGUGUGCGAAUAAAAUAAAUUGAUGAUUAUAAAAGUAGCUUGCUCGGAGUUUGGUAAAUUUAAAUAUGAAAGAAUUAUUUUAUUAUCUAAUCACUAAAAUAGACAUAAGUUUAAAUUGUCUUUAUUUAUGUAUUAGGAUUUAAAAAAAUAGAUAUAAUUAAAUACUAAUGACGUUGAUAGAGAAAAAUACUAAUGACGUUGUUACAGUGAAUCUCAGGGUCCAUUUUUUGUGAGGUUAAUGAUUGCAUUCUGGGUUGCGUUGCACAGUCUUUAGUGUUCAUUCAUCUUUUUAUGGUAAGUUGCAUGCAUUUGUUUUGUUUUAAAAAUAAAAAAUAAAGAAUCCCCCGUGGGGAAGUCAAAGUGCAAUACGAAUUUAUUAGUGAAGAGGACACAGGUUUGACAUGAUAAUUAAUCAUCUCGUUAUGAUGUGUUAGUGUCUAAUUCACAAAUUCGUGUAAUAAAUUGCCACCCUUUCGUGUGAGACUACUGUUAAUUUUCUUCUUCUCCUCACAAAUUUUGCUUUUGCUUCCACUUCACCAUUAAAGAACAUCCCAAAGCUUGGUGUUGUGCGUGGAAGGACUAUUUUUCUAAACCCUAGUAAAAAAAUAUUAACUUCAGAACCAGAGGGUGAUCUCGAAACUUAUUAUUAUGAUCAAAUACUUGAUCACUUUAACUAUAAUCCACAAAGUUAUUUAACUUUUUGAUUGGAUCCUCAAAUACUUUGCUGAUUUGCUUCAAAAUCAGAGCAUAAGAUUAUAUUGUGACUACAAAAUUAGUCUUUUCUUUUUCUUCCUCUCCUCUAUCUUUCUAAUAUUUAUGGAGCAAAGAUAAAUAAUAGUGCGCCUAGCUAGUUUUAGAUUUGGUCAUUUUCAUAAUUCUUAAUCUGGGUUGUCUUAAUGUGUAGAACAAGUGUGCUUACUUAUUGUAAAGCACAUAAAAAGGGUUCAAUCUUUAUGUAAUAAUCAUAUGGGGAAUAUCAAUUCAUAUACAAUCACAUUGAUUUAACCAUUUCCUUGAAGCCGGGGAGAGACAAAGAAUUUGCCCUCCAUAUACAUGUAUCUCUCAAAACUUGGGUGUUUAUCCUUAUAUGCUCCGUUUAUUAGUAGCCAAGCUUAUGAGUGUAUUGCUCCAGGUGAACCUAUUCUUAUUCUCCCACAUAAUAGCUACUUUUGUUUAAUUAUUUGACAAUCCAAUGCAAUUCCAAUCAUGACUUGGGAUCAGUUUGAAAUUCAGAUGGCUGAUGAAAUAAACUACUUCUGUGUGCGAAUAAAAUAAAUUGAUGAUUAUAAAAGUAGCUUGCUCGGAGUUUGGUAAAUUUAAAUAUGAAAGAAUUAUUUUAUUAUCUAAUCACUAAAAUAGACAUAAGUUUAAAUUGUCUUUAUUUAUGUAUUAGGAUUUAAAAAAAUAGAUAUAAUUAAAUACUAAUGACGUUGAUAGAGAAAAAUACUAAUGACGUUGUUACAGUGAAUCUCAGGGUCCAUUUUUUGUGAGGUUAAUGAUUGCAUUCUGGGUUGCGUUGCACAGUCUUUAGUGUUCAUUCAUCUUUUUAUGGUAAGUUGCAUGCAUUUGUUUUGUUUUAAAAAUAAAAAAUAAAGAAUCCCCCGUGGGGAAGUCAAAGUGCAAUACGAAUUUAUUAGUGAAGAGGACACAGGUUUGACAUGAUAAUUAAUCAUCUCGUUAUGAUGUGUUAGUGUCUAAUUCACAAAUUCGUGUAAUAAAUUGCCACCCUUUCGUGUGAGACUACUGUUAAUUUUCUUCUUCUCCUCACAAAUUUUGCUUUUGCUUCCACUUCACCAUUAAAGAACAUCCCAAAGCUUGGUGUUGUGCGUGGAAGGACUAUUUUUCUAAACCCUAGUAAAAAAAUAUUAACUUCAGAACCAGAGGGUGAUCUCGAAACUUAUUAUUAUGAUCAAAUACUUGAUCACUUUAACUAUAAUCCACAAAGUUAUUUAACUUUUUCUCAUAGAUAUGUGACUUCAAACAUUGGGGCGGCGGCGGAGCCACGGCGGCGCCAAUAUUGGCAUAUCUUGGUGAAGAGAGUAGUCUUGAUGAUGACCUUGGUGGCACUGGAUGGCUUACUGAUAAUGCUCAUUGAUUUAAAGCCUUGCAAGUUUACAUAGAGGUAAGUAAAGAAUCUGUUAUCAGGCUAGCUUGAUAAUAAUUGAAAUAGAGUUCGCAUACAAAAUAAUAAUAAUAAAGACAAAUCUUAAUCAGAAUAUUCUACAAUAUGAACUGAAAAGUUGUGAUGGAUUUUUUUUUUAAUUCGAUUUUUUAUGCAGCAUCGGUUCUAUGGAAAAUCAGUACCUUUUGUAUCAAGCAAAGAUGCCCUAAAGAAUGCAACUCUUCGUGGAUAUUUCAACUCUGCUCAAGCUUUGGCAGAUUAUGCAAAGAUUCUCUUACACAUCAAGGAAAAAUUUAUCGGCCGAAAUGUCUCCCAUUAUCGUUGUUGGAGCAUCUUAUGGAGAAAGUAAAUUUUAAUAUUAUUAACUUACUUACAUCUUUUGAUUAAUGUCGUGUCAUUUGUUGCAUCAUUUUAUUCAUUUUGAUCUCGUUUGACCAAAAUAUUAAUUAUGCCAAUAUUAUUUUGAUACAAAUUUAUUUUGCAUUCCAAUUAAUGAAUACUUUCAGCAAUCGUAAAAUUAAGAAAUAGUAAAUAUAUUUUCUUUUUUAAUUAUAAAGUUUACCUCAAUUGUUGUUUGAUUUCUAUUUCUUUUUAAUUUGCAAGAUAUAAGAGUGGUUUUAAAGAGAUUUGGUAGCAACAUUAUUUUACCUAAUGGCCUUCGUGAUCCCUAUAGCAGCGAGGGGCAAUUAAGCUUAAAAAUUUUGUACACUCUUUUCUAUCGAAGUUACCCGUUUAAUUAUAUGCCUUAUUCUUUUUCUUCUUUUUUUUUUGGUGGGGGGGAGAUUAUAGGGUUUUGGAAGAUAUCAGACAAUAUAAUAACAGUGACAACAAGAAGCAGUAUGUAAAUUUUUCUAUAAAAUAAAAAAUAAGUGUUCAAUUAUUAACUAAAUUAUUUGAUAACAUAAUUAAUUAACAGUGUGUAAAUUGGAGUAGGUUCCCAUUGCUUAGACGUACAGCCAGCAAUAGAAGACGACCCAUAAUGGUUAGCAGUGCAGCGAAAGAUUGAAGUGGACAUGCUUCAUGGUUGGAUCCUCAAAUAUUUUGCAGAUUUGCUUCAAAAUCAGAGCAUAAGAUUGAUUUGUGACUACAAAAUUAGUUUUUUCUUUUUCUUCCGCUCCUCUAUCUUUCUAAUAUUUAUGGAGCAAAGAUAAAUAAUAAUAGUGCACCUAGCUAGUUUGGAUUUGGUUGUCAUUUUCAUAAUUUCAAUCAGAUUGAAUUAACUAUUUUCUCCCUUUGAUUUAAGAGUUACUGUAUAGGUCCUUGAAGCCGGAGGUAGUCAAAGAUUUGCCCUCCACACACACACACACACACACACAUAUAAAAAUAUUCUAAUUCAGAAUUUUAAAGUGCGGGAACGUUUGAGAAAACGCAUAAACCGUGCAGUUUAAGUGUUUUAAGUAUUAAGCCUUUAAAAUCCCGCGGUUUUAAAAUUUUUCCUAAUGUUUCCCGCACUUUAAGGUCCUGUACCAAAAAACUACUUUAUAUCCGCACUUUAAGAUCCUGUAUUAUUUAAUGAUUAAAAUAAACAUGAGUUUAAAUUGUCUUUUAUUUAUAUAUUAAAGCUUAUAGAAAAGUAAGAUAUAAUUAUUCUUUUCUUAAAAUAUUAAGGUUAUAAUAUGAACAUUUAAAAAGAUAUAGCAACUUAUUUAAUAAGUUGCUUAUAAAAAUAGUCUCUGUUUUGUUUUUAAAAGUUACAGUCAAAAUAGAGAAAAUUAUAAAAAAAAAAUAACUUUUAACAAAGCCAUCAAAUUUCAUUUUUAUCUAAACUUAUAAAAUAAACUGCUUAUAGUAUUUCAAUCACAAUCCUAGGGCAUUAAUCUUUGUAUAGAAUCAGAUUAUACAUUGAAUAUUUCUAAUUUUCUACACAUAAAUUAAAAUAUGUAGACUAGAAAAACACCUUGACUUCGUAAAGUCUACUUCAUUCUUUAAUUUCCGCAGCAUAUGUCAAGACAUUAUUUCCAAAUAAUUGCCGACUAGGAGAAGUCUUAUAGUCAAGGUGAUUAGAUGAGCGUGUUAUGGAAUCGUAGUGGUUCCCUGCCCUCAACUUAAAAAGUGGCCUUCAAAAUUAAAUAUUAAAUAAUGUGGCAUUAUUAAUGUUAUAUAUAUAUAUAUGUCUUCAUGUUUUGCACGGGUUCGAAUGGCAGUUGUAAUAUUAAAUAAUAUGGCAUUAUUAAAGUUAAAAAAAAUAUGUAAGGUUAAUCAUUAAAAAAAAAUUUAUAAAAAAAUAAAUAAAGAUUAAAAUGGAUGUUAGAAAUAGCCCGUGAGUUUCCAUAGUUUGUGUGUUACAAAAGGACUUUUGUAACUAUUUUAAAAAAAUAAAAAAAAAUUAUUUUGAUUAUUCUGUCAAAUCACACAUUCUGUUCAUAUUAAUAUUUAAUAUCUUAAUAAUGCUAUUAAUUAUUUCUAAUAUUUUCCAUAUUAUCUCAUGUUUCUGCAAUGUUGUUCAAAUAGAUCUACACCACACAAAAUACAAGCCAAUAAGGUUAUAUCUCCAUGAUUGAAUCCAUCUAGAGAAGACCUUGACUCACACUAUUUGAAAACGCGUAUGGGAAAUUAACACUGGGAGGUUGCAAAACAAUUAAUUCUUAUAUAAACGCUUUGCUGAGAAUCAAAUAUAGCUCAAUCAACCGAAAACCAUUAUAAACAUGGCAUCAGCAUCCUCUGUUUCGAGAUUGGUGGUCAUUUUAAUUUUAAUUAAUGUUGGUGCUAUAAGUGAUAAAACAAUAUUUGUAAUAGCAUCAGCUGCUGGAUUAUUGUCGUCACCCGUACAGUUAGAAAGAGAAGCUUUACUGAUUACAGGCUGGUGGUACGACAAUUGGGCAACGUCGGGCAACUACACGUCCGAUCAUUGUAAGUGGACUGGCAUCCGUUGCAAUUCAGCGGGAAGCGUAAUCAGGGUCAGCUUACUCUGGUAUGAAAAUGAUAACAUGAAAGGAGAGCUUGGUCGUUUCAACUUCUCUUGCUUUCCCAACCUCAAAAGUUUCAAAAUUCAUUCAAAUUAUCUUCUCUCUGGGAGCAUUCCAUCUGAAAUUACUGCCCUUUCAAUGCUCCAAACUCUUGAACUGCCCUCCAGCAGGCUUACCGGUAUGCUACGAAACUUCACUAUAUAUAUGUAUUUAUGUAUGUAUGUAUGAAGUCGUGCUCAUGCUUGAAGCAGACGUCUGUUUUUACAACAUUGAAGAAGUUUUUUUUUAUGAGGAUUUCUUUAUAAAUUUUAUUGCUAUGAGGAUAGUGAAUACUGAUCUCGUUUUUCAUAAAUCACAUGCGCAACAGGAAUUAUCCCUUCAGAGAUGGGGAGAUUGAGGAAUCUCGUCCGCCUGGAUCUAUCUGAUAAUUACAUUGGGGGAUAUAUCCCUCCAACUCUUGGUCGUCUAAGCAAAUUGAAAAUUUUGAACUUGUCUUCUAACUUCCUUGUUGGUAAUAUCCCUCUAACUCUUUGUCAUCUAAGCAAAUUGAAAAUUUUGAACUUGUCUUCUAACUUCCUUGUUGGUAAUAUCCCUCUAACUCUUUGUCAUCUAAGCAAAUUGAAAAUUUUGAACUUGUCUUCUAACUUCCUUGUUGGUAAUAUCCCUCUAACUCUUUGUCAUCUAAGCAAAUUGAAAAUUUUGAACUUGUCUUCUAACUUCCUUGUUGGUAAUAUCCCUCUAACUCUUUGUCAUCUAAGCAAAUUGAAAAUUUUGAACUUGUCUUCUAACUUCCUUGUUGGUAAUAUCCCUCUAACUCUUUGUCAUCUAAGCAAAUUGAAAAUUUUGAACUUGUCUUCUAACUUCCUUGUUGGUAAUAUCCCUCUAACUCUUUGUCAUCUAAGCAAAUUGAAAAUUUUGAACUUGUCUUCUAACUCCCUUGUUGGUAAUAUCCCCCCCACUCUAGGUCAUCUAACCCAGCUAACUACUUUGGCUAUGUCAAAUAAAGUGGCCAUCUAGAUGGUAUAAAGCAGCCAUCUAGAUGGUCAGCAACAAUUUUGUUCAAAGAAGAAGAAUUUUGCAGCAAAUUUGAAAAAAAACGAAGCACACGACUUUGACAAGAGAAAGAAGAAAAAGAAGAAAAAGAAGAAAAAAAUAUAUAUAUAUAAUUGAUGAAUAGUGCCAAAGCUUUCUCUAUAAAUAGAAACAAAGAGAAUGAGCAAAUUCAUUCCAUUCAGAGAGCAAUUUAGCAGUUGAGAGAGAGUUUAGAGAGCUUGAAUUUAUAAGCUCUUGUUAUAGUGAUUUAGAGAGUUUGGGUGUAUUGGGGUUUUGAGAAGUGAGCUAAAAUACUACAAUACUUGUAACUCAUUUUCAAUAGUAAAAUAUUUCCUUCUGUCUUCGCCCGUGGAUGUAGGCUAAAAGCUGAACCACGUAAUUUCUAGUGUCGUCUAUUGUGCUUGUUCUUUAUUUUUCUUCCAAUUUCAACUUAGGUGCGUGUCUGCUUCACCCACCAAUUUCCUAACAGGCUAUUGUCUGGAACCAAAUUAAUGGUUCCAUCCCAUUAGGAAUCGGGAGUUUGAAGGCUCUUUAAGUUCUUGACCUGUCCAGAAAUGAAAUUGAAGGUUCAAUUCCUUCAACACCUAGCCAUUUAAAGAGAUUGAGAAGUUUAAAAUUGUCCGAAAACAAACUUGUUGGUCCAAUCCCUUCGUCCCUGGGUCAUUUGACUCAGCUAACUACUUUAAAUAUGUACAACAACAAACUUGAUGGUCCAAUUCCUCAAGAACUCAUGAAUUGCUCAAAGCUGCGGAUAUUAAUAUUGGGAAACAACUUGUUAAGCGGAAGCAUUUCGUCAGAGAUUGGCAAACUUCAAGAACUAAAUUAUCUUGAUUUAAGCCAUAACUUGAUUAAUGGUAAAAUACCUUCCCAGCUUGGAGAAAUUCCACGCAUAGAUACCGUGAACCUUUCCAUGAAUAAUCUUUCCGGUAGCAUCCCUGAAUCUGUCAAAAAAGUGCCUCUCUUAUAUGUAUCAGGCAACAAUUUCGAGGUAGAAAUCCCAAGUACUUCGGCAAAAGCGCCACCACCACAUCACAAAGGCAAUGACAAAAAGAUUGCCACUCGAUUGGUUGCAAUUAUUCUUCCUAUGUCCGCAUUCCUUGCCUUAAUAUUUGGAAUCUUGUUUGUCCGUAGACGAAGGGAUAAGAAAGUUGAACCAACUGAGACAGGAGAAAUUACCAAGUGCGCUGAUGAGUUUGCAAUUUGGAAUUACGAUGGUAGAAUUACAUUUCAAGACAUGAUUGAAGCUACUGAGGAUUUCCAUAUCAAAUACUGCAUUGGAACCGGAGGCUAUGGCAGCGUUUACCGAGCACGACUGCCCAGUGGAAAAGUAGUUGCUUUGAAGAAGCUUCACCGUUCAGAAACUGAGGAGUUAGCUUCCCUCGAGAGUUUCCGGAAUGAGGCUCGUCUACUGUCCCAAAUAUGGCAUCGAAAUAUCGUAAAGCUUUACGGGUUUUGUUUGCACAGGAAAUGCAUGUUCUUAAUCUAUGAGUACAUGGAAAUGGGAAGCUUGUUUUGUGUUCUACGCACAGAUGAGGAAGCUGUUGGUUUGGAUUGGGCUAAAAGGGUGAACAUUGUGAAGGGCAUGGCUCAUGCUUUGUCAUACUUGCAUCAUCACUGCACACCACCAAUUGUUCACCGCGACAUAUCAAGCAACAACGUUCUACUCAACUCAGAAUUAGAAGCAUUUGUUGCUGACUUUGGCGUUGCUAGAUUAUUAAAUUUUGACUCAUCCAAUCGAACUCUAUUGGCUGGCACUUCUGGAUAUAUUGCUCCAGGUAAUCUUCUCGCUAUUCUUCUUCUGCUUCUUUAAUUAUUCUUUUAAUUAAUUUUUGUAUACACUCUGUUAAGUAAUUUUUAAGCAGUUUUAUUUAGUUAGCUACUUAAGUUCGAAUUUUAGAAUAGAUAAGGAGCUGAAAAAUUAAUUUGAACUUUGCGUGCCCGUUUAACUCCUUAUUUUUUUUUAAAAAAAAUACAUACACUUUAGAUAUCAGUUAAAAACAUAUGUUUCUUUGUCAUACCUUGCUGCAGAAGCUCAAAAAUAUAAACAAAUUGCUCUUGUUAUUACUUAGAAAACAUCACUGAUAAAGGUUUUUGUUUUCAUACAAAACUUGCCUACACCAUGGUUGUGACGGAGAAAUCUGAUGUUUAUAGCUUCAGAAUGGUGGCACUAGAAGUACUAAUGGGAAAGCAUCCAGGAGAGAUCCUCUCAUCAUCAUCUUCAUCAUUGGAUAAAAAUAUAAAGCUGAUUGAUUUGUUGGACCCACGCCUCUCACCUCCGGUGGAUCAGAAGAUUAGGCAGGAUAUCAUUCUUGUUUCAACAGUAGCAUUUUCAUGCUUGCGUUCUCAACCAAAGUCUCGACCUACAAUGCAACUCGUGUCCAACGAAUUUAUCGCUCGCAAUAAGGCACCGAUGCAGAAACCUUUUCAUGAAAUUUCAAUUGUGGAGCUUAGAAACCAAGAAAUGUAUGUGGUUGAUUAAUGUGAUAUCUAAUUACGGAUGCGUAUAUUUAACUGUUCAUGUAUGUGAUGGGAUUGCUUGUAAUCAUAGUGGAUUUUUCCAAUAAAGGUGACUGUUAAUUGGUUCUGAAAUUAUUAGGUAGUAGCAAUGUAGCGGAUAUUAUGUGUUCCACGAAUUGUCUCCCUUAGUAUUAUUAAGUCCAUUUUCACGUUCACUUCCAAUAUAUAUUGAAUUGCAAUUAAACAUAUGUGCAAACUACGACAUUAAUCUCUCUGGUCAAGCUAGUACUUUCGCAGUUCACUCUAAUAAAAUAAGGUUUGUCUGAUUGUCUCCCUCUGAAUGAGCUGAAUUAAACAGGAUUUUAAGGAAUUUAAGGUUGUAUCUCUACGAGUUAAAAGGAUAAAUUGUCAUUUUAAUUAUUAGUUUAUUUUACAAAUUAUAUAUGUAAACCUCAUUCAGAACGAGGUUCUUGAUAUUUAAUAUAUUAGUUUUUUCACUCCUUUGUAAAUAUUCACACAAACAUAUACAAUAAUUUAGCUGAUCCGAUCAAACAUCCUGGACCCACCGCUGAUGUUAGGAAGCUUCUGCAUAAGUUGUGGUUAGUGAUAUCCCGCCAACUACCUGCCAGCAAAAGAUAAACUAAUGUCAGGUCAUGAUCAAGAAAAAUUUGCUUUGAGCCGAAGAGUCCAAUGUCAUAACCAUGCAUAUAUGAAGCACUUUCAAAGAGUAGAUCUAACAGUGUCUGGUUUUCAUUUUUGGAGUUUUUUACCAAUGACUGGAGAGUAGAGAACAACACAUGAUCCCCAUUACAGUAUUGUUGCUUGAAUUUAUAGGCUUCAUCAAUCAGUACCUUCAAAUCCAUAUAUAAUGAGAUGGAAGAAUGAAUUUAAAUUUAUUAAUGUAAUUUCCGAGUUUUAAAAUGAUAAAGCAAGUUGCAACUGGUUCAUUGAAAUUUAAAACAUUCAUAAUGAAGUGCAAGAGCAAAAGAAAAGUUAGGAGCUUUACCUUCAGCAUAACAAGGAGUCUGCUGCAUCAGGCCCACUUUAUCUGCCUCUAUAGACCACCACCUCUUCAUCUUCAGCCUUCUCAAUAAUACAAUCUCUUGUUUCUUCAUUUGAUUCUUCGACCACUACAGCUUCACCUUCAACAUUCUCAGUAGGCUCUGAUGGUGUCACAAUUGUUGUGCUGGUGGUGAGGGGGACGGCUUCAUUAUUUUUCCUGUAUUCAUUAGACCGAGCCAUGUGCUUCUUCCCCCUUUUAUGACCUUCCAUCACGACAGCAGAGUGAGUACCAACUUGACAAACUUCACACCAGAAUUCGAAAUUCUCCCUAAGGGGAAGUUUUCUCUUCAUCGUCUCUGCAGUCGGUAUUCCAUUUGUCGUCUUCCGAGUGUUUUCAUUCGGGUCCUUCUUUGGCAGCUCCUCAUUUUUGUUCUCCGAAUCUUUUUCACCCUCCACUUUCUGGUCUAAACCCACAACAGUUUUAAUCGCUUCAACUGAUUCCUCUUCUACUUUAGCUUUUAUUGCUUGACCAGCACUUUCUGGUCUAAACCCACUUUCUGGUCUAAUUGUCUUUCCAGAUUCUUUUGAUGUUGAUGAAGAUGAGGUGGUCUGAGCUCCAAUUAGCUUGGCUUCCUUUGCCUUGUGCUCCUUACCUUGAAGAUGCUCAUCUUGACCACCCUCCACUUUCUGGUCUAAACCAACAACAGUUUUAUUAGCUUUAACUGAUUCCUCUUCUACAGUAGCCUUAAUUUCUUCGCCAGCACUAUCUCUGUUUUCAAUAGAGUUUCUUGAGGUGGAGUUACUGCACAUCUUCUGAUCUCCAGGUAGUCCUUCUUCCUUGGCCUCGUGCUUCCUGCCUUGAAGAUGCUCAUCUAGAUCUCUCUUGCUAGUAGUACUGAACUGACAGAGGGCACAACUCCAAUCUGUGGGUUUCUUUGAACUCGUCAGCGGGAGCUCUCCAGAACCUGCUGGUAGUGUGGCAGCUUCCUGCUUUGAUCCACAAAGAUUGGGAUAGGGCUUAACCUGCUGGGCUUGACAACCCUCCUCUUUCUGGUCUAAACCAACAACAGUUCUAUUAGCUUUAGCUGAUUCCUCUUCUACUUUAGCCUUCAUUUCUUGGCCAGCACUAUCUCUGCUUUCUGUGGAUUUUUUUAUCCACUUCUGAGCUCCAAGUAGUUCUUCUUCCUUAGCCUUCUGCUUCUUACCUUGAGGAUGCUCAUCUAGACCACCGUCCACUUUCUGGUUAACUGAUUCCUCUUGUAUUUUAGUCUUCAUUUCUUGGCCAACACCAUCUCUGCUUUCUGUAGAUUUUUUUGACGUGGAUGGAAUGGAGUUACUGCACCUUUUCGUAUCUCUAAGUAGCCCUGCAACCUUGGCCUUGUGCUUCCUACCUUGAAGAUGCUCAUCUAGACCUCUCUCAGUAGGAGCACUGACCUGACAGAGGGCACAACUCCACUCCUUGGGCUUGUUCGAAUUCGUCGAAGGAAGCUCUCCAGAACCUGCAGGUAGGGUAGCAGUUUUCUGAUCUGAUCCACAAGGAUUGGAAUUGGGCUUAACCUGCAGGGGUUGACCUCCCUCCACUUUCUGGUCUAAACCAACAACAGUUUUAUUAGCUUUAACUGAUUGAUCUUCUACAUUAGGCUUCAUUUCUUGGUCAGCACUAUCUCUGCUUUCCGUAGCUUUUUUUGAAGUGGAGUUAAUGCACAUCUUCAAAUCUCUAAGUAGUUUUUCCUUGGCCUUGUGCUUUUUACCUUGGAGAUGCACAUCUAGAUCUCUCUCGGUAGUAGCACUGACCUGACAGAGGACACAACUCCACUCCUUGGAUUUGUUUGAACUCGUUGAAGGAAGCUCUCCAGAACCUGCAGGUGGUGUGGCAGCUUUCUUCUUUGAUCCACAAGUAUUGGAAUCGGGCUUAGGCUGGAAACGAUACAGAAACCAUGAUGCCUUAUAUUAGUUAUCACAUCAAUGGUAAAAAUGAAAAAUAUUCCCAGUGAGCUCCAUCAUCUGCUAUUGCAGUGCAGUACAGAUGAAAGAAUUUGUUUACAAAAUAAUAAUGCACAAAUUUUAUUUUAAAUUGUGAAUUCUCAUAAAAGGACGGAAUGUAGAAGUAUAUUUAAAUAGUUGAUACAACCAGAAUCCUUGUUAAUUAACAACAUUUCCAGCACUGAACUACGAAAAUCUUUCCUUCAAAAAACAAGAAAAAAAAGGAAAAUGUUUGAAAAGGAUUCUGAAACACUUUCUUAAUAAGCAGGACAAGAAGAAGAGAUGAUAUUAACACUUACGAGCAUUAUAAUUCAUAAUUUGAGGAAACGGCAUUUCAAUGGAGCCUCCAGCCCAACGCACAUACACGAACACAAGCAAUAAGAUUUAAAAUAAGAAAUUACCGGGAAAAAGAAACAUCAGAA
This 39237-nucleotide long non-coding RNA is filed under the name Citrus sinensis (sweet orange). RNAcentral describes it as "long non-coding RNA (CSIN_LNC003095)". Lineage: Eukaryota; Viridiplantae; Streptophyta; Magnoliopsida; Sapindales; Rutaceae. The record is from RNAcentral.